GAUGAAGAACGUAGCGAAAUGCGAUACGUAAUGUGAAUUGCAGAAUUCAGUGAAUCAUCGAGUCUUUGAACGCACAUUGCGCCCCCUGGUAUUCCGGGGGGCAUGCCUGUCCGAGCGUCAUUGCUGCCCUCAAGCACGGCUUGUGUGUUGGGCCCCCGCCCCCCGGUUCCCGGGGGGCGGGCCCGAAAGGCAGCGGCGGCACCGCGUCCGGUCCUCGAGCGUAUGGGGCUUCGUCACCCGCUCCGUAGGCCCGGCCGGCGCCCGCCGGCGACCCCCCUCAAUCUUUCCAGGUUGACCUCGGAUCAGGUAGGGAUACCCGCUGAACUUAAGCAUAUCAAUAAGCGGAGGA
This 349-nucleotide unclassified non-coding RNA is filed under the name soil metagenome. RNAcentral describes it as "partial contains 5.8S ribosomal RNA, internal transcribed spacer 2, and large subunit ribosomal RNA". The stretch from base 1 to 120 matches the Rfam family "5.8S ribosomal RNA", at positions 35 to 154 of the family's 154-position model. The record is from RNAcentral.